UGUUCACAAACCCCUGAAGCUAAUACCACUGACUGUUAAUUCAAAUAAACAAAGCAAGACUUUGUUAGAGACCAAAAGUGCAAAGAUAAAUUCAGCCAGCAGUACACCAGACCAACGAGAGACGAUUCUACAUAUGCUGAGUGCUCUUGAGGAGCUUCAUAGGUCACUGAACAAUACACUGAACAGCCGUCUCACCAUCAUAAAAAGAGGUAAUAGCAACAGUCGCAAUUCAGGAAAAAAGAAUAAAAUGCUCACAGAAGGUAACGUGAAAUCAACAACAGUGUCAUCUGUGGUCAGCAAAGGUGCUUCACCAAGGGCUAGCACUGACCAAG
Molecule: long non-coding RNA, 332 nt
Organism: Ictalurus furcatus (blue catfish)
Lineage: Eukaryota; Metazoa; Chordata; Actinopteri; Siluriformes; Ictaluridae
Exons: 3
Source: RefSeq, a predicted model, not a curated record